UACGUAGGGGGCAAGCGUUGUCCGGAAUCAUUGGGCGUAAAGCGCGUGUAGGCGGCUCGGUAAGUCCGCUCUGAAAGUCCAGGGCUCAACCCUGGGAUGCGGGUGGAUACUGCCGGGCUCGAGUCCGGAAGAGGCGAGUGGAAUUCCCGGUGUAGCGGUGAAAUGCGCAGAUAUCGGGAGGAACACCAAUGGCGAAGGCAGCUCGCUGGGACGGGACUGACGCUGAGACGCGAAAGCGUGGGGAGCAAACAGG
RNAcentral lists this ribosomal RNA (253 nucleotides) under uncultured bacterium. RNAcentral's name for it is "partial 16S ribosomal RNA". It matches the Rfam family "Bacterial small subunit ribosomal RNA", at positions 524 to 776 of the family's 1533-position model. The record is from RNAcentral.